RNAcentral lists this ribosomal RNA (530 nucleotides) under Micromonospora maritima. Its description in RNAcentral is "bacterial SSU rRNA". It matches the Rfam family "Bacterial small subunit ribosomal RNA", at positions 31 to 579 of the family's 1533-position model. The record is from RNAcentral. Lineage: Bacteria; Bacillati; Actinomycetota; Actinomycetes; Micromonosporales; Micromonosporaceae.
GAACGCUGGCGGCGUGCUUAACACAUGCAAGUCGAGCGGAAAGGCCCUUCGGGGUACUCGAGCGGCGAACGGGUGAGUAACACGUGAGCAACCUGCCCUAGGCUUUGGGAUAACCCCGGGAAACCGGGGCUAAUACCGAAUAUUACCUCCGAUCGCAUGGUUGGUGGUGGAAAGUUUUUCGGCCUGGGAUGGGCUCGCGGCCUAUCAGCUUGUUGGUGGGGUGAUGGCCUACCAAGGCGACGACGGGUAGCCGGCCUGAGAGGGCGACCGGCCACACUGGGACUGAGACACGGCCCAGACUCCUACGGGAGGCAGCAGUGGGGAAUAUUGCACAAUGGGCGGAAGCCUGAUGCAGCGACGCCGCGUGAGGGAUGACGGCCUUCGGGUUGUAAACCUCUUUCAGCAGGGACGAAGCGUAAGUGACGGUACCUGCAGAAGAAGCGCCGGCCAACUACGUGCCAGCAGCCGCGGUAAGACGUAGGGCGCGAGCGUUGUCCGGAUUUAUUGGGCGUAAAGAGCUCGUAGGCGGC